AUUGAACGCUGGCGGCAGGCCUAACACAUGCAAGUCGAGCGGACGAAGGGGGCUUGCGCCUCGCUUCAGCGGCGGACGGGUGAGUAAUUACCAGGAGUCUGCCUGGUCGAGAGGGCUAGCGUCCGGUAAGGGACGCUAAUACCACAUACGUCCAGAUGUAGAAAGGCGGGGAUCUUCGGACAUCACGCUAUUAGAUGAGCCUAGGUCGGAUUAGCUAGUUGGUGGGGUAACGGCCUACCAAGGCGACGAUCCGUAACUGGGCUGAGAGGAUGAUCAGUCACACUGGAACUGAGACACGGUCCAGACUCCUACGGGAGGCAGCAGUAGGGAAUCUUCGGCAAUGGGCGAAAGCCUGAUCCAGCCACGCCGCGUGUGUGAAGAAGGUCUUCGGAUUGUAAAGCUCUUUUAGUUGGGAGGAACGACAGUAUGUUUAUCUCUUCCUGUCUUGACGUUACCUACACAGUAAGCCCCGGCUAACUACGUG
RNAcentral lists this ribosomal RNA (484 nucleotides) under uncultured bacterium. Its description in RNAcentral is "partial 16S ribosomal RNA". It matches the Rfam family "Bacterial small subunit ribosomal RNA", at positions 30 to 507 of the family's 1533-position model. The record is from RNAcentral.